This 315-nucleotide long non-coding RNA is filed under the name Gossypium raimondii (Peruvian cotton). RNAcentral's name for it is "long non-coding RNA (GRAI_LNC006845)". Lineage: Eukaryota; Viridiplantae; Streptophyta; Magnoliopsida; Malvales; Malvaceae. The record is from RNAcentral.
UUUCAGGUGAAGAAGGUGAAGAAGGAGAUCCCGAGGAUGACCCUGAAGCCAAUGGAGAUGGUGGGAGUGACGAAGAGGAUGAUGAUGACGACGAUGAUGAUGGGGAUGAAGAUGAUGAUGAUGACGAUGAUGGUGAGGAUGAAGAAGAGGAGGACGAAGAAGAUGAGGAUGAUGAGGUUCCUCAGCCACCUUCUAAGAAGAGGAAAUAAAUCUAGUCAUAGGUCUUGAGAUAUUCUACUAUUUCCUGCUUUUUUCCUCUCUGGGUGAGGAAAUUUUAGUAGGGAGGGAGAUUGCAGCUUGUUUGUUUGCUUAGAG